Acanthosepion pharaonis is the source of this 112-nucleotide non-coding RNA. The record is from the annotation of a GenBank genome assembly. Lineage: Eukaryota; Metazoa; Mollusca; Cephalopoda; Sepiida; Sepiidae.
CUUGCGACCAUAUCACGUUGAAACACCGGUUCCCCUACUAUAACCGAAGUUAAGCAACGUCGAGCCUGGUCAGUACUUAGAUGAGUGACCGCUUAGGAAUACUAGGUGCUAU